RNAcentral lists this ribosomal RNA (520 nucleotides) under uncultured bacterium. RNAcentral's name for it is "bacterial SSU rRNA". It matches the Rfam family "Archaeal small subunit ribosomal RNA", at positions 345 to 866 of the family's 1478-position model. The record is from RNAcentral.
AACCUCCGCAAUGUGAGAAAUCGCGACGGGGGGAUCCCAAGUGCCAUUCUUAACGGGAUGGCUUUUCAUUAGUGUAAAGAGCUUUUGGAAUAAGGGCUGGGCAAGACCGGUGCCAGCCGCCGCGGUAACACCGGCAGCUCUAGUGGUAGCAGUUUUUAUUGGGCCUAAAGCGUCCGUAGCCGGUUUAAUAAGUCUCUGGUGAAAUCCUGUAGCUUAACUGUGGGAAUUGCUGGAGAUACUAUUAGACUUGAGACCGGGAGAGGUUAGAGGUACUCCCAGGGUAGAGGUGAAAUUCUGUAAUCCUGGGAGGACCGCCUGUUGCGAAGGCGUCUAACUGGAACGAUUCUGACGGUGAGGGACGAAAGUUAGGGGCGCGAACCGGAUUAGAUACCCGGGUAGUCCUAACCGUAAACGAUGCGGACUUGGUGUUGGGUGGCUUUGAGCUGUUCCAGUGCCGAAGGGAAGCUGUUAAGUCCGCCGCCUGGGAAGUACGGUCGCAAGACUGAAACUUAAAGGAAUU